Molecule: ribosomal RNA, 408 nt
Filed under: uncultured bacterium
Lineage: Bacteria
Description: partial 16S ribosomal RNA
Rfam family: Bacterial small subunit ribosomal RNA
Source: RNAcentral
AUUGAACGCUGGCGGCGUGCCUAAUACAUGCAAGUCGAACGGAGUGACUCACGGGUGAGUAAUUUAUAGCUAAUCUGCCCUACACUAGAGGACAAUAGUUGGUAACGGCUGUUAAUACUCUCUAGUGUUGGAUGAGGCUAUAUUGUAUCAGCGAGUUGGUGAGGUAAUGGCUCACCAAGGCUAUGACGCAUAACUGGUCUGAGAGGAUGAUCAGUCACACUGGAAGUGAGACACGGGCCAGAAUACUACGGGAGGGAGCAGUAGGGUAUAUUGCUCAAGGGGGGAAACCCUGAAGCAGCAACGCGUCGUGGAGGAUGACAAGUGGCGGAGAGUAAAGUCCUGUUGUUAGGGAAGCGGUACCUAACGAAUAAGCACCGGCUAACUCCGUGCCAGCAGCCGCGGUAAUUC